RNAcentral lists this ribosomal RNA (253 nucleotides) under uncultured bacterium. RNAcentral describes it as "partial 16S ribosomal RNA". It matches the Rfam family "Bacterial small subunit ribosomal RNA", at positions 524 to 776 of the family's 1533-position model. The record is from RNAcentral.
UACGAGGGGUGCAAGCGUUGCUCGGAAUUAUUGGGCGUAAAGGGUGCGUAGGCGGUGGGGUAAGUCUGAUGUGAAAUCUCUGAGCUCAACUCAGAAAUUGCAUUAGAAACUACCUUGCUAGAGGAUUGGAGGGGGGACUGGAAUUCUCGGUGUAGCAGUGAAAUGCGUAGAUAUCGAGAGGAACACCAGUGGCGAAGGCGAGUCCCUGGACAAUACCUGACACUGAGGCACGAAAGCUAGGGGAGCAAACAGG